Molecule: ribosomal RNA, 512 nt
Filed under: uncultured bacterium
Lineage: Bacteria
Description: partial 16S ribosomal RNA
Rfam family: Bacterial small subunit ribosomal RNA
Source: RNAcentral
GACGAACGCUGGCGGCGUGCCUAAUACAUGCAAGUCGAGCGGAACUGGGGGAGCUUGCUCCUUCCAGUUUAGCGGCGGACGGGUGAGUAACACGUGGGCAACCUGCCCUGCAGAUCGGGAUAACUCCGGGAAACCGGUGCUAAUACCGAAUAGUUUGGCGCCUCUCCUGAGGCGCUACGGAAAGACGGUUUCGGCUGUCACUGCAGGAUGGGCCCGCGGCGCAUUAGCUAGUUGGUGGGGUAACGGCCCACCAAGGCGACGAUGCGUAGCCGACCUGAGAGGGUGACCGGCCACACUGGGACUGAGACACGGCCCAGACUCCUAUGGGAGGCAGCAGUAGGGAAUCUUCCGCAAUGGGCGCAAGUCUGACGGAGCAACGCCGCGUGAGUGACGAAGGUUUUCGGAUCGUAAAACUCUGUUGUGAGGGAAGAACACGUACCAACUAACUAUUGGUACCUUGACGGUACCUCACCAGAAAGCCACGGCUAACUACGUGCCAGCCGCCGCCGUAA